Molecule: ribosomal RNA, 429 nt
Filed under: uncultured bacterium
Lineage: Bacteria
Description: bacterial SSU rRNA
Rfam family: Bacterial small subunit ribosomal RNA
Source: RNAcentral
AACACAUGCAAGUCGAACGGUAACAGGAAAUAGCUUGCUAUUUUGCUGACGAGUGGCGCACGGGUGCGUAACGCGUAUACAAUCUACCUCUUGCUGAGGGAUAGCCCAGAGAAAUUUGGAUUAAUACCUCAUGGUAUUAUAGAUAGGCAUCUAUUUAUAAUUAAAGGUUACGGCGAGAGAUGAGUAUGCGUCCCAUUAGCUAGUUGGCGAGGUAACGGCUCACCAAGGCAACGAUGGGUAGGGGUCCUGAGAGGGAGAUCCCCCACACUGGUACUGAGACACGGACCAGACUCCUACGGGAGGCAGCAGUGAGGAAUAUUGGACAAUGGGCGGGAGCCUGAUCCAGCCAUGCCGCGUGCAGGAAGACUGCCCUAUGGGUUGUAAACUGCUUUUAUACAGGAAGAAUAAGCCUUACGUGUAAGGUGAUGA